RNAcentral lists this ribosomal RNA (497 nucleotides) under uncultured bacterium. RNAcentral describes it as "partial 16S ribosomal RNA". It matches the Rfam family "Bacterial small subunit ribosomal RNA", at positions 28 to 507 of the family's 1533-position model. The record is from RNAcentral.
GAUGAACGCUGGCGGCGUGCCUAAUACAUGCAAGUCGAGCGAACAGACGAGGAGCUUGCUCCUCUGACGUUAGCGGCGGACGGGUGAGUAACACGUGGAUAACCUAUCUAUAAGACUGGGAUAACUUAGGGAAACCGGAGCUAAUACCGGAUAAUAUAUUGAACCGCAUGGUUCAAUAGUGAAAGACGGUUUUGCUGUUACUUAUAGAUGGAUUCGCGCCGUAUUAGCUUGGUGGUAAGGGAAAGGCUUACCAAGGCAACGAUGCGUAGACGAACUGAGAGGGUGGUCGGCCACACUGGAACUGAGACGCGGUCCAGACUCCUACGGGAGGCAGCAGUAGGGAAUCUUCCGCAAUGGGCGAGAGCCUGACGGAGCAACGCCGCGUGAGUGAUGAAGGUCUUCGGAGCGUAAAACUCUGUUAUUAGGGAAGAACAAAUGUGUAAGUAACUAUGCACGUCUUGACGGUACCUAAUCAGAAAGCCACGGCUAACUACGUG